Saccostrea cuccullata (small rock oyster) is the source of this 438-nucleotide long non-coding RNA. RefSeq lists it as uncharacterized. The record is from RefSeq and is a predicted model, not a curated record. Lineage: Eukaryota; Metazoa; Mollusca; Bivalvia; Ostreida; Ostreidae. The transcript has 2 exons.
AAAGAUAUGAUGUCAUAUUCCCCAAGUUCAAAAAAGGAGAAUAUUCUGUUCGAGAAGUCAAAGUCAACUGCACAUAUGGUUACAUUGACAAAUUAAUGAAAGUGGUCAUAACUUCAGCAGAGGAUCAGACCAUGAACUUCAGUGGUAUCACGCUGAACAAUGUUCCUCCUCCACUUUGCAGUGCUUAUGAAAGACCCAAUAAAGAGACUGCUAUUCAAGAAAAACUUCCAAGAUUUUCUAGUCAUGAUGCUUUAAUAGACCAAGAUAAUGCAUGUUUAGAGAAAAAAUCCAUUGACGAGGCUUGACUGUACAUGUAUUCAAUUCAUUUAACUUGUACUUAUCAGUGAAUGUUUAUUGUUGUUUAAAUCCAGUGUAAUUUUCAGAAUUAGCUGGAAAAUUGUUUCGGAUACAAUUCACAGCACAUGAUGGUAAAACAAC